UUUUCUUUCACUUUCCGUUUUCUGCUUUCCCUUUGGUCUUCUCUGUACCUCGCAAACUUUUUUUUCUUUCACUCUCCGUUUUCUGCUUUCGUUGUUGAGGAAUCUAUGUUUUGUCGCUGGCCGCCGUCGCCUCAAGUUGUUCUGAAAAUUUAGCUUCCUCAAAGAUAUAAAACGGUGUGAGUUUUUUCAAAUUUUUACUUUUCCUGCUGUUAUGGGUUUUUGUGACGGAUUGAAUAAGACAGAGUUUGGCUUAUGUGCAGUCUUAGUGUCUGCAAUUUUGUUGUUGCCAUUUCUUUUUUGUGGUCGUUAGCUUCGUGAUUUCAUUGUUGUAGCUAUUGCUAUUAGUGAUGGUGGCCGAGUUGUACGUUUCUUGAUGGUAAAGUCUCCAUGUCUUCCUUUCAGACCAUGGGUGAAUAAAUUGUGGAUCGUUUAUAGUUUUUGUCAUUUUUUUCUUUUCGUAGUUUUGUGGGAGUUUAUGAUCUGUCGUUGAAAUUCCUUUUUGAUAGGCUAAAUGGAAAGCGUGCGCCCAACUCCUGUUAAUCAAUUAAGA
RNAcentral lists this long non-coding RNA (550 nucleotides) under Malus domestica (apple). RNAcentral's name for it is "long non-coding RNA (MDOM_LNC004416)". Lineage: Eukaryota; Viridiplantae; Streptophyta; Magnoliopsida; Rosales; Rosaceae. The record is from RNAcentral.